CUAACACAUAUAUUCUUUGGGGAAAGCUACAGCAGACAAUUGUUUACCAUCCUUAUUAUUUUGGGUAUCUUUCAUUUCAGUCCUUUUCAAGCUUUCUAGACAAGCCUUUUGUUAUCUUAUGUUCCAAGUAAAGAAUCAAGAUCACCCUCCCCUAGGCUUUUCGUUUGUUUUGUAAAUCUUUUGAGCUGGAAAAAACCAAGCCGCGUUCUCAAUCAGUUUCAGAUACUUUCUUUUAUCAAUGGGCUCUAGCAUACUUUUACAGAAUAGGCACAUAAGUAGCUAGUAAGAUCAAACAGAAGGCUAAAAGGUGUCAAUACCUUUUGAAAUAAAGCCUAAGAGCUAUCUUUAAGAAGUUCCUGCCCAAUUUCAAACACCUAAAUAUCAACUUGAUGAGUUCAUAACCCAAAAUUGAUGAGACUCGCAUUUGAACAGGGUUUGGAUUAGCUUUCUAGACUUACAAACAUGGAAUAUUUAAUAACUGACCCCAGAAAAAGCAACCUUUUGCAGGAAUCAAUUGGUGACAACUUAGAGUGGAAGCCUACUCAUCAAAUUUCUCUAACUAUUGAUUUAGAGGAUGGUGCAUGAAUGUUUAUAUAUAUACAAGUGCAUUUACAUCCUAGUUUAAGCAUCUUUGCCACAGGGAAUAUAACAGUUGCUUAAAGGAACAGACAGGACUAGGUUCAAGAUUUGUCUGUUUCUUCUCCAAAAUGCCCAAAUCAGAGAAGCAAGAGAACCAGCCUCCUCCAGGAUACCCAACUGACACCCCAACCGCUAAGAAGAAGUGCUGCCCUAAUACAAAGAAGAAAGGAGACAGAGGCUUCAUUGAGGGAUGCCUCUUCGCUCUAUGCUGCUGCUGGCUGUGUGAAGCCUGCUUCUGAAUUCUGACUUGUAAUACCAAAUAGCAUAAUUUCUGCAACAGAUUGCCUUUGUUUUGUUUUUCUCUAUUGAUGAGAUAUAAUAAAAUGUAACCUUUGAUUGUACUUCUCUCUUUUUAUCUACAUACACUGAGUUUUCGUU
Ricinus communis (castor bean) is the source of this 1017-nucleotide long non-coding RNA. RefSeq lists it as uncharacterized. The transcript is spliced from 3 exons. NCBI's taxonomy places the organism in Eukaryota, Viridiplantae, Streptophyta, Magnoliopsida, Malpighiales, Euphorbiaceae. The record is from RefSeq and is a predicted model, not a curated record.